RNAcentral lists this ribosomal RNA (468 nucleotides) under uncultured Gammaproteobacteria bacterium. RNAcentral's name for it is "bacterial SSU rRNA". It matches the Rfam family "Bacterial small subunit ribosomal RNA", at positions 224 to 725 of the family's 1533-position model. Lineage: Bacteria; Pseudomonadati; Pseudomonadota; Gammaproteobacteria. The record is from RNAcentral.
GAUGAGCCGAUGCCGGAUUAGCUAGUUGGUAGGGUAAAGGCCUACCAAGGCGACGAUCCGUAGCUGGUCUGAAGGAUGAUCAGCCACACUGGACUGAGACACGGUCCAGACUCCUACGGGAGGCAGCAGUGGGGAAUAUUGGACAAUGGGCGCAAGCCUGAUCCAGCCAUGCCGCGUGUGUGAAGAAGGCCUUCGGGUUGUAAAGCACUUUUGUUGGGGACGGUACCCAAAGAAUAAGCACCGCUAACUUCGUGCCAGCAGCCGCGGUAAUACGAAGUGCAAGCGUUACUCGGAAUUACUGGGCGUAAGCGUGCGUAGCGGUUUGUUAAGUCUGCUGUGAAGCCCCGGGCUCAACCUGGGAACGCAGUGGAUACUGGCAGCUAGAGUGUGUCAGAGGAGGUGGAAUCCCGGUGUAGCGUGAAAUGCGUAGAGAUCUGAAGGAACACCAGUGGAUCACAGUGAAUUCGC